AUGGAAGUCAAUAUUCUCGCAUUUAUUGCUACUGCACUGUUUACUCUAGUUCCUACUUCUUUUUUACUUAUUAUUUAUGUAAAAACAGUCAGCCAAAAUAAUUAA
RNAcentral lists this ribosomal RNA (105 nucleotides) under Triticum aestivum (bread wheat). RNAcentral's name for it is "partial small subunit ribosomal RNA". Lineage: Eukaryota; Viridiplantae; Streptophyta; Magnoliopsida; Poales; Poaceae. The record is from RNAcentral.